AAGAGUUCAUCUGGAACCAGAACAGACCUAGAAUAGCAAAGUGAAGCAGAGAUACUAUAUAUAUGUCAGGCCUGACCUGAGAAAGACCUUCCCAAUAAAACGUGCUGCCCUCUACAAACAACAGGAAUCCAGGCUGCCCUCAGAAAACAAUAAUUAUUGGCCAUAAAGAAAUUAAGGACUGGACCUUUAGUGUCCCUGACUCCAGAAGACCUCCAUGUGCCUGUGCUGAUCAUCCUUAAAGCUUUUUUUUUUUCUGGUGGUGCUGGGGAUUGAACCCAGAGCCUUGUGCAUCCAAAGAAAGAACUCUACCACUGGGCCACAACCGCAGCCCAUCCUUGCUACUUUGACCUCAAAUAUUCCAUCCUGAUUCCUUGAGACUACAAUCCCAAACCCUAUACAUAUGUAGCCUCCCCUGCAGAUAUUCACUGAUAUCACUCUGAUUUCAGCCUGCCUUUAUAUAAACAGAAUUAAAUCUAGUCUUUCACACA
Chinchilla lanigera (long-tailed chinchilla) is the source of this 488-nucleotide long non-coding RNA. RefSeq lists it as uncharacterized. The record is from RefSeq and is a predicted model, not a curated record. The transcript has 2 exons. NCBI's taxonomy places the organism in Eukaryota, Metazoa, Chordata, Mammalia, Rodentia, Chinchillidae.